Long non-coding RNA from Balaenoptera ricei (Rice's whale), 1077 nucleotides. RefSeq lists it as uncharacterized. The transcript is spliced from 2 exons. The record is from RefSeq and is a predicted model, not a curated record. NCBI's taxonomy places the organism in Eukaryota, Metazoa, Chordata, Mammalia, Artiodactyla, Balaenopteridae.
GAUCCAGAUAGACGUCCACUCCUUGUCCUUUCCUGGUCUAACCACAGUCUCGUUAGACCAGCAUGGCGUCUUUGCUCACCUCGCCCCUGGCCUAAUUGGCUUUCAACCUGGUCUUUCCCCUUCACUUCAUUUUUAAUUCAUUCUCGCAACGCGUGUCUACUGCUUGGAUUGCCUUGAAGUUUAUCGGGGUCAAGACAUGUGGUGGAUAAGAUCAAAGGGCAGAGAAGACAUCAUUCACAUCAGGCUGCAAAGUCCGUCUGGAGCAUGAGAGCCCGUGAAAUGUAUUCACGUGUGGCAAACGGGAGGAGGGCAACAUAGUUGCUAACGGAGCCCCAUGUUGGAACGGUAAUUGCCGGCGGAGGAAAUACUAAGUGACAGGGAGCUGACUCCACCAGGAAAUUAUCCAAGCUGUUAAAGUCAUAAAUUUAGGGUGGCACUCCAGCUCCAAAUUUUACAGGAGACAAGAAACUCUCAUAAUUUGCAGUUGUUGCAAGCAGGGACUCAAAGAUUGCUGGAAACGUUGGUAUGAAAAGAAAUCCAAGAAGCUCAUUUUAUUUUCACGAAUAAACAUACAUUUAAGGAGCUUCUGAGCUGAAACACAAACAAAGCUUGUGUCCGCAGAUUGAGGACCGUGGCUCCAAUUCAAUGAUUCUUUGCUCUGGGGAUGUAAAGUAUCAGCGCGGCUUUUGGUAACUAACUUGGCACCGGCAGGCAAAACGGCUAAGGGGUUACCAAAAGCAAGCCACAAAAUAAAACAUUUAAAAGAGAUUACUGGAGAUCUUCCUCAAGUAUCAAAUGGAAGGCAAACUUUCUGUGGUGAGAAGUAAAGGAAAAAGGGAAGAUAUGAGAGGGAGAGAGAAAGAGAGGGAAAGAGACUGCUUUCUGUCAUGGAUCUAUUUGUAAAACAAUACAUAUUCAAAGAAGAACUGUUGAAGAAUUGUUUCUUUGAAGUACUGACUCCUAUUAUUCCUGUGUCUAUUUGUUCGGGUUUGGAAAUAUCAAUGUUUUAAAAGGAAACACAUCGUAGGUAGUGUCUUAAAAAAAUAAAACGAAAUACGGAUACUGUGUUUUACGUUU